This 268-nucleotide long non-coding RNA is filed under the name Elaeis guineensis (African oil palm). RNAcentral's name for it is "long non-coding RNA (EGUI_LNC075859)". Lineage: Eukaryota; Viridiplantae; Streptophyta; Magnoliopsida; Arecales; Arecaceae. The record is from RNAcentral.
GUAUAAGAUAGAAAUCUUCAAAUCAUAUAAUUUUUGAUGUACCAUUAAUUUUGAGAUAGUAGAUAACAUCAAAUGAUUUGGAUCAUUAAUAUAGGAUCUUCAUUAUUUAGUUUUGAUCUAAUCAUACCUGAAUACAAAUCUUUUCAAUUUUAUUCAAAUCUGUAUCAUACAAAUAUCUUAUAUAUAAAAUAUGCCAUAGUUAACACGGCACAAUCAUCUAAAAGGAGGGAUCCGAUUAGUAAGUGGUCCAUGAGGUACGAAGGAGACC